RNAcentral lists this ribosomal RNA (182 nucleotides) under uncultured bacterium. RNAcentral's name for it is "partial 16S ribosomal RNA". It matches the Rfam family "Bacterial small subunit ribosomal RNA", at positions 1320 to 1500 of the family's 1533-position model. The record is from RNAcentral.
AUGAAGCUGGAAUUGCUAGUAAUCGCGGAUCAGCAAGCCGCGGUGAAUACGUUCCCCGGGCCUUGUACACACCGCCCGUCACACCAUGAGAGUCGGGAACACCCGAAGUCCGUAGUCUAACCGCAAGGGGGGCGCGGCCGAAGGUGGGUCCGGUAAUUGGGGUGAAGUCGUAACAAGGUAGC